CUGCCCGGCGCCGCCUCGCCAUGGACGCGCGCGGGGGCGGCGGGCGGCCCGGGGAGAGCCCGGGCGCGACCCCCGCGCCGGGGCCGCCGCCGCCGCCGCCGCCCGCGCCCCCCCAACAGCAGCCGCCGCCGCCGCCGCCGCCCGCGCCCCCCCCGGGCCCCGGGCCCGCGCCCCCCCAGCACCCGCCCCGGGCCGAGGCGUUGCCCCCGGAGGCGGCGGAUGAGGGCGGCCCGCGGGGCCGGCUCCGCAGCCGCGACAGCUCGUGCGGCCGCCCCGGCACCCCGGGCGCGGCGAGCACGGCCAAGGGCAGCCCGAACGGCGAGUGCGGGCGCGGCGAGCCGCAGUGCAGCCCCGCG
RNAcentral lists this long non-coding RNA (356 nucleotides) under Homo sapiens (human). RNAcentral describes it as "long non-coding RNA NONHSAT060147.2". Lineage: Eukaryota; Metazoa; Chordata; Mammalia; Primates; Hominidae. The record is from RNAcentral.